GAUCCCGUCGGAAUGUUCGAGGACCCUCUCGUAAGGCUAAAUACUCUCUAGCGACCGAUAGUGAACCAGUACCGUGAGGGAAAGGUGAAAAGCACCCCUGUGAGGGGAGUGAAAUAGUACCUGAAACCGUAUGCCUACAAGCAGUCGGAGGGCUAUACCGGGAAACCGGGAUGCCUGACGACGUGCCUUUUGCAUAAUGAGCCGGCUAGUUAUUCUCAGUGGCGAGGUUAAGCGGAAGCGAGCCGUAGCGAAAGCGAGUCCGAAAUGGGCGUGAGAGUCGCUGGGAAUAGACGCGAAGCGAGAUGAUCUACCCUUGGCCAGGAUGAAGCGCGAGUAACAUCGCGUGGAGGUCCGAACCGGUGUUGGUUGAAAACAGCUCGGAUGAGCUGAGGGUAGGGGUGAAACGCUAAUCAAAUUUCGUGAUUGCCCGUUCUCCUCGAAAUGCCUUGAGGGGCAGCCUCGGAAGGUCGGCGAUGGUGGUAGAGCACUGAAUGGACUAGGGGCCUUACCAGGUUACUGAAUCCAAUCAAACUUCGAAUGCCAUCGACACGUAUUCCGGGAGUGAGACUGUGGGGGCUAAGCUUCAUAGUCAAAAGGGAAACAGCCCAGACAUCCGACUAAGGUCCCAAAAUCUAUGCUAAGUGGUAAAGGAUCUGGAGAUACUCAGACAACCAGGAGGUUGGCUUAGAAGCAGCCAUCCUUUAAAGAAAGCGUAAUAGCUCACUGGUCAAGUGUCUCUGGGCCGACAAUGUAACGGGGCUUAAGCAUAGUACCGAAGUCGAUGAAUAGCGGAUCUUGCGAGGUCCGCGAUUGGUAGAGGAGCGUUCUCUUCGCCGCGAAGUCAGACCGUAAGGACUGGUGGAGCGGAGAGAAGUGACCCUGCCGGCAUAAGUAGCGAGAAGGGAAGUGAGAAUCUUCCCCGCCGUAAGCCUAAGGAUUCCUGAGGUAGGUUCGUCCGCUCAGGGUUAGUCGGGAGCUAACGCGAGGCCGAAAGGCGUAGCGGAUGCACAUCCGGUUAAUAUUCCGGAACUACCAGACAAUCGUUAUCACGAUGGGGGGACGCAGGAGGCUAACCAGGCCCGGGUUUGGAUGUCCGGGUUGAGGCCUGUAGGGGGAACUGAUAGGUAAAUCCGUCGGUUCAUUACCCUGAGGGGUCGAAGCGAUGCCGCAAGGCAAUAAAGCUGGUGACGCCACGCUGCCGAGAAAAGCCUCUAAGGAGAUUGUUUGGUACCCGUACCGCAAACCGACACAGGUAGGCGAGGAGAAAAUCCUCAGGCGCAAGUGAGAAUCCACGUUUAGGAACUAGGCAAAAUUACCCCGUAACUUCGGGAGAAGGGGUGCUCCAGUAGUGUCAGUGACCUCGCGUCAUGAAGCACGAAGGAGUUGCAAUAAAGAGGGUCAAGCGACUGUUUACUAAAAACACAGGGCUCUGCUAAGUCGAAAACGACGUAUAGGGUCUGACGCCUGCCCGGUGCCGGAAGGUUAAAAGGAGAGGUCAGCCGCAAGGUGAAGCUUUGAAUUGAAGCCCCGGUAAACGGCGGCCGUAACUAUAACGGUCCUAAGGUAGCGAAAUUCCUUGUCGGGUAAGUUCCG
This 1593-nucleotide ribosomal RNA is filed under the name freshwater bacterium LH6-2. Its description in RNAcentral is "bacterial LSU rRNA". It matches the Rfam family "Bacterial large subunit ribosomal RNA", at positions 430 to 1985 of the family's 2925-position model. The record is from RNAcentral.